RNAcentral lists this ribosomal RNA (504 nucleotides) under uncultured bacterium. RNAcentral's name for it is "bacterial SSU rRNA". It matches the Rfam family "Bacterial small subunit ribosomal RNA", at positions 40 to 526 of the family's 1533-position model. The record is from RNAcentral.
CCGCCGCAGUAACACAUGCAAGUCGAGCGCGAAAGGAGCAAUCCGAGUAGAGCGGCGCACGGGUGCGUAACACGUGGAUAAUCUACCCUUGAAUUCGGGAUAACCAUUCGAAAGUUUGGCUAAUACCGGGUAAGCUCAGGGCGACUUCGGUCGCAGGGAGAGAAGCAGACCUCUAUUUAUAAGUUUGCGUUUGAGGAUGAGUCCGCGGCCCAUCAGCUAGUUGGCGGGGUAAAAGCCCACCAAGGCAACGACGGGUAACUGGUCUGAGAGGACGAUCAGCCACACUGGAACUGAGACACGGUCCAGACUCCUACGGGAGGCAGCAGUGGGGAAUUUUCCACAAUGGGCGAAAGCCUGAUGGAGCAACGCCGCGUGUGUGAUGAAGGUCUUCGGAUCGUAAAGCACUUUCGAUCGGGACGAAAACCCAUUGGCUAACAUCCAGUGGCUUGACUGUACCGAGAGAAGAAGCACCGGCUAACUCUGUGCCAGCCGCCGCUGUAAUAC